Molecule: non-coding RNA, 73 nt
Organism: Ixodes scapularis (black-legged tick)
Lineage: Eukaryota; Metazoa; Arthropoda; Arachnida; Ixodida; Ixodidae
Source: Rfam
UCCUGGUUAGCUCAGUUGCUAGAGCACUUCACUUUAAAUGGAGGGGUGCCUGGUUCGAUACCAGGUCCAGGCG